GCUUCGUUAGCUCAGUGGCAGAGCACUGGUCUCGUAAACCUGGCGUCGAGGGUUCAACUCCCUCACGAGGCU
RNAcentral lists this transfer RNA (72 nucleotides) under Acropora cervicornis. RNAcentral's name for it is "tRNA-Thr". It matches the Rfam family "tRNA". From Rfam's summary of the family: Transfer RNA (tRNA) molecules are approximately 80 nucleotides in length. Their secondary structure includes four short double-helical elements and three loops (D, anti-codon, and T loops). Further hydrogen bonds mediate the characteristic L-shaped molecular structure. tRNAs have two regions of fundamental functional importance: the anti-codon, which is responsible for specific mRNA codon recognition, and the 3' end, to which the tRNAs corresponding amino acid is attached (by aminoacyl-tRNA synthetases). tRNAs cope with the degeneracy of the genetic code in two manners: having more than one tRNA (with a specific anti-codon) for a particular amino acid; and 'wobble' base-pairing, i.e. permitting non-standard base-pairing at the 3rd anti-codon position. Lineage: Eukaryota; Metazoa; Cnidaria; Anthozoa; Scleractinia; Acroporidae. The record is from RNAcentral.